RNAcentral lists this transfer RNA (63 nucleotides) under Schlechtendalia peitan. RNAcentral describes it as "tRNA-His". Lineage: Eukaryota; Metazoa; Arthropoda; Insecta; Hemiptera; Aphididae. The record is from RNAcentral.
AUUUAAAUAGUUUAAUAAAAAUAUUAAUUUGUGGGAUUGAAGAUUAUGUUAUAAUAUUUAGAU